Molecule: ribosomal RNA, 457 nt
Filed under: uncultured marine bacterium
Lineage: Bacteria
Description: partial 16S ribosomal RNA
Rfam family: Bacterial small subunit ribosomal RNA
Source: RNAcentral
AGAGUUUAGAUACAUGGCUCAGACACGCAACGCUGAGNGGCACGCAAUNACACAUGACAAGUCGANCNCNCCUUCNGGGGCANAGCGGCGGACGGGUUAGUAACGCGUGGGAACGUACCCNNNUCUACGGAAUAGCNUNGGGAAACNGAGAGUAAUACCGUAUACGCCCUUCGGGGGAAAGAUUUAUCGGNNNAGGAUNGGCCCGCGUUAGAUUAGAUAGUUGGUGGGGUAANGGCCUACCAAGUCUACGAUCUAUAGCUGGUUUNAGAGGAUGAUCAGCAACACUGGGACUGAGACACGGCCCAGACUCCUACGGGAGGCAGCAGUGGGGAAUCUUAGACAAUGGGCGCAAGCCUGAUCUAGCCAUGCCGCGUGAGUGAUGAAGGCCUUAGGGUCGUAAAGCUCUUUCGCCAGGGAAGAUAAUGACAGUACCUGGUAAAGAAGCCCCGGCANNNCG